Molecule: ribosomal RNA, 253 nt
Filed under: uncultured bacterium
Lineage: Bacteria
Description: partial 16S ribosomal RNA
Rfam family: Bacterial small subunit ribosomal RNA
Source: RNAcentral
GACGAACCGUGCGAACGUUGUUCGGAAUCACUGGGCUUAAAGAGCGCGCAGGCGGCUUGGUAAGUCGGAUGUGAAAUCCCGAGGCUCAACCUCGGGUCUGCAUCCGAUACUGCCCGGCUAGAGGUAGGUAGGGGAGAUCGGAAUUCCUGGUGUAGCGGUGAAAUGCGCAGAUAUCAGGAGGAACACCGGUGGCGAAGGCGGAUCUCUGGGCCUUACCUGACGCUCAGGCGCGAAAGCUAGGGGAGCGAACUGG